GCUCAAAUUUGAAAUCUUCAAGGUUUUACCUUGACGAAUUGUAGUUUAAAGAAGUGUUUUCUGUUGGUGUUUUGGUAAAAGUUCUUUGGAAUAGGACAUCAUAGAGGGUGAGAAUCCCGUAUUUGACCAUUACUUCCAGCGUUGUGAUACACUUUCAAAGAGUCGGAUUGUUUGGGAAUGCAGUCCAAAAUGGGUGGUAAAUUUCAUCUAAAGCUAAAUAUUGGCGAGAGACCGAUAGCGAACAAGUACCGUGAGGGAAAGAUGAAAAGAACUUUGAAAAGAGAGUUAAACAGUACGUGAAAUUGUCAAAAGGGAAGCGUUUGACACCAGUGUUGUUUUCUCGAAAAUCAAUUAAAAAAAGUUGGAUUUUGUAUUGUUAAGACCUUAUCAGCUUACUGUACUCUUUUCUUGCUUUUUUUAAUGCACUUUUCAUUUAACAAG
This 441-nucleotide ribosomal RNA is filed under the name uncultured Neocallimastigomycetes. RNAcentral's name for it is "LSU rRNA". It matches the Rfam family "Eukaryotic large subunit ribosomal RNA", at positions 107 to 542 of the family's 3401-position model. The record is from RNAcentral. Lineage: Eukaryota; Fungi; Neocallimastigomycota; Neocallimastigomycetes.